AUGCUACAAGCAAGGAUGGCCUCAGCAUCCGAUUCUGGAACCAGCAGAUCACUAUGAGGAGCCUGGCGAUGGCAGGAACAUCCCGGUGAGGACAGCUUGUUGAGGAGGAAGGCUGUGGAGCCCUGGCCAUCUGAAAGCUAAGUGGAGGGUCUGGGAGGAGGGGACAAGGUUGGGGGUUGGAGGCGGGGGGUUUCAAAGUUGGUGUAGGGGAGAGGACUGGCAGGGCACAGUCAAGGGACGCGUUACUCUUCAGCACAAUGUCAGCGUGUACAGGGCAGGGCAGCUCCAACCUGUGUCUGGCGUGUACUUCAUGUUGUCUGUUUUCUGUGUCUUAGACUGUAUGUUCUUUGGGUCUUGGUGCUUCCAUAGCUCGGUGACCAGCAGGCACCUCGGUAGCCCUCCCAAGAGUUCAGAAUGCAUCACUUCACUGGCACAGAGCCUGUUGAGCCCUUCUCAUCUCACAAUUACAGCUUGAUGCGUGCAUCUCUUUGGCGUGUGUCACUUGCUGGCUGUUCCUGAGCGUUCAUCUCUUGUGGUGGCCAGCCAGGUGCUGCCUGCAGCUCUGCUCUUGAGUCUGCAGUUUCCACAGAGUCAUUUUCUGGGGUUUCAUCCCCAUGUCCUCACUGGUCUUGGGUCUUCAAGCAUGGCUUCUCACACAUCCCUUAUUCUGGCUUUGAUGGCAGCUUUCUCUUGUGUGUGGCUGCAAUCUCCUCUCCUUGGCAGGUCUGCUUUAGAGCAUCCGUGCCAUCGUGGCACCGUAGGGCUUCUCUGCCAGCAUCAUCUUCCCUAUGGGAAUCUUUUACUGAGCAAGGACAAGACACUUAUAGAAAGUUACAAAGGUCUUGUGAAAAAAAGAUCCUGAUCUUGUUGAAACAAGAAGAUGGGGAAGCACGUGCUUUGCUUAAAAUAUGGCAGAAUUGCCGCAGUUGCUGUAGCUGAGCGACGUCUGCUCGUGACAAAAUCAACAAUAUGGAAACCAGACCUUCAGCAUUUAGGCUGCCCACCUCCAACUGAAGACCUACGCACUGUGUGUGCUGUACCUUGAAAUCAGAGUGAGAAAUUCACUAACCAAUCAGAGUAGAAUAACCGUGAAUAUGUAUUAGGUGGAGCAAACAAACCAAAAGCGUGUGAAUGUGUAGAGUUUUGUGACUUCAGGGGGCAGCUUUGUGUCUAACCCCCUCUUGCCCUGUGUUUGCCUAAAUGAAUGAAAUAAAUGAAAAUACCUUGGCUCUAUAUGUAUUUUGGCAUCUCGCAUAGUAGGUGAAUGACCCCACUUUUGGUAUAACGAGGUAUAACACUCGCGGCGUCCGUGUGUAGUCCUGGUCUGUGUGUGAGGGUUGGAGCUGCCCUGCCCAGGGAUGCAGCAGUACUGAUGACAGGGUAGCGUAGCUUUAUGGGGGUGUGGAAGUAAGUUGUUUUGGACCAGUUCUGUUGGCAGAGACCAUACGGUCCAUUUCUGGGCCAACAGGUGUAGGCAGCUGCCACAGUUGUGUUCGCUUUUCUUUACGGUCCGGGGCUAGGAUUGGAUCCAGCCGCACCUAGACUCCUCUGAGAAGGAGUUUAGAAAGCAAGGGGGUCCAGUCUGAACCUCGUGACUGGUUGGGAGCAGCAGUUAGUGUGGAAGGGGAGCGGGUCAGAUCUGGAAGGUGCCUUAGCUUGCACAGAUGGGGCUCCCUAGCUGGCUUUUCUUCUUCUAGCUGUAGUGAGAAGGUAUAUGCAAAAGGCAGAGAGACCUCUGGCCUCACCAAGCUACCUGUGGCUGUGCAGGUGACUUGCUUUACAGGGUGUGUUUGUGUUGUUUCAGAUGCAGAGCAACAAGCAGCAAGGCCAAGGGCACGGAAUAGGGGAGCAGAGUGCUGGCUGAAGAAGGACAGGCAUCCAGCGCCGGAGUAUCGGCAGGACAGCUGGUGGUUCUGACAAGCCUGAACUUUUCUGGCUGGAUUUUCUGGGUGCAAAUCCAAGUGUGAAGUGAGAUGUUAUCAGCAGAGCAGCCUCUGGCAAGGUGGUACACAAGCCCUCCUAGUCCCCUGGGGUCCCUGCCUGGAUUGUUCAGGAUGGCCUGGUGCUGUGCAUUGCAUUUCCAGAGACAAACAGCAGCUUGGCAGCUUGUGGUCAGGACUCUGGAGAGAUUUGGGAAGGCCCCAGAGCACCUUCUGCAUCCUCUCACAGUCAGCAUGUGAGUGAAGUGAUGCAGGAUUCCCACCUCCGUGCCGGUCCCGCAUGUCAUCCUCUUCCCCUGUGGUUCCAGACUGUCAGCAUAGGAGAGACUUGCUUCCCCUACAGGUCCAAGUAUUUCCCAGUGCAUGAGGGACCUGCCACAGAACCUGAGCUUUCCUAUUGCAUUGACUGAAGAGCUGCAUAACACUUAGAGCCUGGUGUAGGUUGGCUUCUUCCUGCUAAGAAGCCAUUUCUUCACAAAAUGCUUUUCUUUGUCUAAGAUGGAGACAUACAAGUAGUGGUGACCAGAUAUGUGCUUGUGAAUGGACUUGAUGGAGAGUACCAAACUUCUCUUUCAUUGCAGUCUGUAAUGAUUUUUUUGGCCUCCAAAGUUUUUUGUGCUGCUUCUCAAACACACUUUCCCAGCCUUUUUUUAAAUGUAAGCAGACAUUGAAAGAAAAACCAGCACUAAGAAUAUUGAUGGAGAAAGAAUUGUGCACAAUUUCAGAACUUCACAGACUUGUUUAUAAGACUUACUUAUUUGAAAAAGUGACACACUUGUUGCUAAUCAAUUAAUAACACAUUAUUUUUCACUUCAUAAUGGAGUCACAAGCUGCUGUUUUCAGACCCUGAUCUCUGGGAGGCUCUUUGUAGAAAAUCAUGCAUAGGAAUAGGAUCAUCCUCUAGGAAAGCUGGAAACACUGUGGUUGAUAAGUUGGAUUUUUUUGUGGAGUAAAACCUGGCUGUGUUGGGCAAGCCUCUUGGAAACACCCCUGAUUUCCUAGGAACUUGCUGGAGGAAUCCCAAGGCAGACUGACCAUGACACCUGAAGCAGAUACCAGCCACAGGUGUGUUCAGAUGCUGAACAAAUAUUUCUCAUACUCCCUUUCAAUUGUUGGAAACCUGCCAGAGUUAAAUCCCAUCUUUAAUUUCUGGAGCUUUGCUGUUUUCCUUAUUUUUCUGCCUAAGGUGCAUGAUCUGAGGUGUUAAUUUGAACUUGGACUGGAAGAUGCAGUUCAAAUACUCAUCUUUAUGCAGAAAGCAACCAGGGAAGACAUUCUCAAGUGUAAGUGUGGUAAUUAGUAAGAUUGUAAUGAUGAGAAAAUUACAGUUUCUUCUGGAAGUCACUAGCAAGUUACAACCAAAGAAAGAAGUGGAUGUCAGGAUAAGGGACCCUAUGACCAUAUGGCAUUGGAAGACAUGGAUUAGGAUUUCUCUCUGUGGUUUGGCUUGACAAAAGCAGUGAGGAAAAGACAGCUGAGGAGGUUCUGCUCCUCUGUCAUGAUAGAAGAGGAAAAUGAUAAUGAAAUGUAAAACUCUGAAGUAGCUCAGUGAGUUUCCAUGUUCUGCUUAUUAUAGGGACAACUGAAAUUCCCCAUAUAGAUUCUGUGCUUUAAAAAGCAACAGUUCAGAUGAACUAAACUGAUCUCAGCUGAUGCAUUUCUUUACCAAGUGGGGUUCUAUGGUCUCUUUGAGCAGUCUAUCAGCUGAACUGCUGGGAUUUUCCAUUUAUUCUUUUCUUUUAAAAUUGAUUUUACAUGAGUAAGAGUGAGUUAUGUGGAAAAUCGACUCCAGGAAGCUUAUCUCGGUGAAACCCAAGAAAAGGUAACAUGCAUAAAUUAGGAUGAACUAUAUCCCGAGAUAAACUUUAUUAAUCAGGUUAAAAGAAGAUACAGAGACCUGAGAGUAUUUUAAUGUUACAUAAAUAAUUUUUUAUUUAUAUAACAGCAUUGCCUGACUUGGUUUGUUCCUCCAUGCAGAAAAACUCAUAGGUAUGUAAAGCAAAAAGCUCUGGUCUUAAGAGGCAGUAUGGGUUACUUUAAUAUAUGCCAAUUGGUGUGGGGAGAAACUCAUUCUCUUGUAGUAAAAAUAUCUCCCUCUUAAUGGACCUAGCAGACUUUAUUUGUUUACAAAAGAUUUGGUACCAAAAAAUACAUUAAUAAAAGAGGCUAGAGAAACAUAUUGGAAAUAUUAGUCUGUACUGGCAAAGGAUUCUUUUAACAAUUUUAAAUAAAGAUUUUCCAGAAUUUGGUGGGGGGGAGAAGAAGAAAUUUACCUGGAAAACCAUGCUGACUGCAAGAGGAAGAACACCAGUUGGUAUCUGAUUGUUUUUUUUUUACUGUUUUUUGUUACCUAACCAAACACUUUCACUUACUGGUUUUAUCAAAGCUAAAAACAAUUGUCAAAACAUCCCCCACUAAUUUGAAAUUAAUUCGUUGUCUAAUCUAAAAUACUCUAAAAUAACCUCUGUCUCUGAGCAGGGCUUGGCCUGCUAAAGUCACAGCUCUGCUCUUGAGGGAAUGAGUCCUCAGAGAAGAGCAGGGACAGGACUGAUGUCAUUCACAGCAUUUUUCCCUGGCUGCCUGGAGCCUGAUAGCUGGUUCCAGCUCUUCUACCUUCAGCAGGGAUCAGUGGGAAUCUCAGCAGGAGGUUUAAACACCCCCCUCUGUCUCCCAGCAAAGGUCUGCUGUUGUGUGUUCACAUCUCCUUCACACUUUCCCUGCUCCUGCAUUUUCUCCAAGAUCUUUUCUCCUCCUCUUUUGAGGAAGAUGCCAGAGUGACAGUAACAAAAGCUGGAACUUUUGGUAAAAAUACAUUCAGUAUUUCUGCAUGUCAUGGACUUCUAGGCAGUGUUAGGUGCUUGCUACAGCUACAGCCAUCUCCAGGUUUUCUCUUAACUUUCUGCAAGGGAGCUGUGCACAGUGGUAAAUAGCAUGAUGCAAAUCAGACUCACCAUAAACUCCUGUGAGAUGGGCAGUUGUUGUACAGAGCAUCUUUGAAAGGGGAGCAAAAGCAAAGCUCAAGGGAUGACAUGAUACCUCUCUAAUGGUUUCCUGACUGAUUUGCAUGUAUGCAGAUUUAUGCAUUCUGUUUGUAUGUACUUGUUUCCCAAAGCUCUGUAUGAUUAAUUUAUUUCAUCCUGGUUUUGUAGUAGCUUGAAAUUUAUCCAUGCACUGUUCAGGAUCUGGUCCUAUUGCCCUCAAAAGUGUUGAGGUUCCUCAAUCACAUUCAGCUGUUCCCCCUAAAUGACUUCUUCAGGAUCAGGUUGAAAGCACCUGAAGAACAGAAACAGUCUUUUCUUAUGCUGUAAUGACAGGUGCAUUUUCACUUUGUCAGUUGAAAGGUAACUAGGUCCACAGAUGAGGAUCUGGAGGAAUGGUUCAAGAUGCAGCUUCUCCCAGCUCAGAUGCAUUACACAGACUUGCAGGCUGCUGCUGAGGUAAAUCCUUUUCUUAUUUUCUCCCCCUCAACAGCAGAGUUCAAAGCUCUUCUAAUUGCAGGUGACCUUGGGUGGUUCUUCCUAUAGAAAUUAAGUGGAGAAAUUAAAAUGCAGUUUUCAUGGCAUUUUCACUGACACCUCUUGUGCCUGGAGGUCAAAUGUUUUCACUUAUUUAUGGAACUUGGCAUUGUUAUCCUGAAGUAGAAUUUGGUGGUGGUUGUUGUUGUU
Long non-coding RNA from Apus apus (common swift), 5605 nucleotides. RefSeq lists it as uncharacterized. The record is from RefSeq and is a predicted model, not a curated record. NCBI's taxonomy places the organism in Eukaryota, Metazoa, Chordata, Aves, Apodiformes, Apodidae. The transcript has 3 exons.